UACAGAGGUCUCGAGCGUUAGGCGGAAUCACUGGGCUUAAAGCGUGUGUAGGCGGAUUGGUAAGUACCUUGUGAAAUCCCCCGGCUCAACUGGGGAACUGCACAGGAAACUAGCGGGCUUGAGUUCGGGAGAGGGAAGCGGAAUUCCGGGUGUAGCGGUGAAAUGCGUAGAUAUCCGGAGGAACACCGGUGGCGAAGGCGGCUUCCUGGACCGACACUGACGCUGAGGCGCGAAAGCUAGGGGAGCAAACGGG
This 253-nucleotide ribosomal RNA is filed under the name uncultured bacterium. RNAcentral describes it as "partial 16S ribosomal RNA". It matches the Rfam family "Bacterial small subunit ribosomal RNA", at positions 524 to 776 of the family's 1533-position model. The record is from RNAcentral.